UAUUUAAAUCUUGGUUCCACUGAAAAUUUAUGUCAGUAUGAGAUACAAUGCAGGGAUCUAAACUUCUUAGAAAUGGUAAGCUUAGUGGUCGAACAACAUUCAUUGAAAAUAUUCUCUUUGUCUCCUGAUUUUAUUUGGCACCUUUGUCUUACAUUGUACAUCUGUUUGCAGAUGGAUAUAUUUUUUGUUAUUUCAAUUAUAUUUCUAUGUUGAUUAUUCUUCUAAUCAUAUAUGUCUAUCAUUCUGUAAUAACUUUUAAUAAUUUGUUGAAUAGUUGUCAUUUUAUUAUUAUGCUGUUUGAAAUUUUUAUUGGCUAACAGGCCAUCCUGAAGCAUUUAUUCUUCUACAUGAACAUUCAAUAUUCCUUUUGUCCAUUUUUUAAAAAUUGUGUUUAGAUUUUUCUUGGAAUUAUGUUACAUUUAUGUUAUUCUGGUAAUUACGGGCAUCCUUACAAUAUUAGGAAAUUAUUGCUUUUUGCCAUUUUUUGAAGCUGUUUUCCAUGUUCUUCAGUCAUAUUUUAUAGUUCACUCAAUAAAUAUCGAGCAAUUAACUCGCCCAGUUAAUUUGAAGCUGUUUAUCGUUACUGCACGUUAUGACAGAGUUCUCCUCCCUCUGCCCUGCCUUUGCCAUCCUGUGAAGUUUUAUGGGUUUUGUAACUGACUAUCUUGCAGAGUUCACUCACUAUUAAUAUUUUUCAGCUGACACUUUGAAUAUUACAUGAUAACUUUGUGCCCUUCUUAAUAUUCAUAUUUUUUUCUCUUGUCCUGAACAUGGUUCAGAAAUUCACAAUUGUAGGGACACUACUUAACCCACCUCUCUAUCCCUGAAUCUACUGGACUAUAGUAGCAUCCUUGUUUUUCCUUCUCUCUCUCCUCAGUUCCUGAUUUUCAGGACUGGGACCCUUAGUAAAAUUAAUUGGGACACUUUUAAACAUUUUUAUAGCCUUAAGCCAAUUAAAUUAUAUAGAAAGUGCCUCUUACCUGAAUGUGUGACUGAAUUUGUGCAUCCAUCCCCAAAACAUCUGAGCCUCUAUCUCAUAGAAGUGGUGGGGAGUUCUUUAUCAGUUUUUUCCAUGGCUUUUAGUUUCAUCAGAUUUUUUUCUCUCUCUUCUUGAAAAGGUUGCUUUGCCUUAUUUGGUUUUCAUAAAUUUAAACAAGUAUGCUUUCUUUUUACUAUAUUUUAUUUUAUGGUACUGGGGAUUGAACCCAGGGCACUUAACCACUGAACCACAUCCCCAUCCCUUUUUAAUAUUUUAUUUAGAUACAGGGUCUUGUGAAGUUACUUAGGGCCUUACUAUGUUGCUGAGGCUUGCUUUGAACUCGAAAUCUUUCUGCCUCAGCCUCUCAAGCCACUGGCUGAUUUCUACUUUAGUUUUCUUCCCUCUCUAUGUUUCUAAUCCCUUCUUAAUUCUAGCAUUAUUUAUUUAUGUUUUCUUUUUUCACAUGUAAACUUUCAGGAGGCUUGCCUCUUUUAUUUUUUCGUUUUGUAUUUUUUUGUUUUGUUUUGGUACCAGGGAUUAAGCUCAGGAGUAUUCAACUACUGCACCACAUCCCCAGUGCUUUUUAUUUUUUAUUUUAAUACAGGGCCUUGAUAAAUUGCUUAGGUACUUGCUACAUUGCUUAGGUACUCACUAAAUUGUUGAGACUGGCUUUGAUCCUGCCUCAGCCUCCUGAGUCACUGGGAUUACAGGUGUGCACCACCCCCUUGCCUUUAGUGGUCUUUUAAAAGAUCUAGCUCUUUGAUUUCUUAUCAAUCCUAUUAUUUUCUGCUUUCUAAUUUACUUAUGUCUGCUUUUAUCUUUCACUUUCUGUUUCUACUGUCCAUUGUAUCUUGUGUCCAUUUUUUAGUCAAUUGCUAAGUGUUUCUUUUUUAUCCUUCAUUUUUAUUCAGUUACAAAACCACUUAAAGUUUGUCUUUUCUCUGAUAAGUGAUGAGAAAGAAGAAUGCACAGAGAGGACACUGUAGCUAUGACAGCAGGCUCAGAAACAGAGAUCAAUACUGCACUUCUCUGCUGGGCACCUGGCUCUGCCUCUUUGGUGCUAGCUCUUCAGGUGGUACCAUUAUGCACAUCACCUCUUUCCUAAUUUUCUUCCUGCUAAAUGUUAACCAGAGAGCCAAAGUGACUCAGGGCUGCACUCCAUGUUUGGAAGUCAUGGAAACGAAGGCCCUUCCAACUUUAUCACUUUUUCUGAAGCAGUUUUGUCUCAUUUGCUUGACCCUGGGUCCUAAAUGGUACUUACUUGGAAUUGUAUCUAUUAGCCUGAGAAUAUGACCAUUUAUGUUACCAUAAACAACAGACAACCUUAUGUACUGAGUGUUUCUGACACCCUGGCAUGGGAGUCACCCUGCACUGCCCUACCCUGCCCAACCCCAUUUUACCCCAACCCCCUCAGCCAUCUCUCAUCUCCUGGCUCUGCAGGAUUUAUAGAAGGAGGACUGUGGUAUAGAGCAUUAAGAAGAUGUAAGGGAGCAUGGGAAUGGAUUUUAUUGGAAAUAUUAAACUGUUGAGGAGGAGGGAAGGAUGUACAGUGUAAAAUACUCUUCAGUCAGGCCAGGCUAAAUCUAUCUGUGACAUCUCAAGAGGCGUAAUCUCAAGGCAUCCCAGGGCUUCCAAAGAGAACCUUAAGGAACCCCGGAUUUUAAUCCAUGAUUCUAGUGGAACUCCAUGUAGGACAGUGUCAAUAUCUAUUGGCCUUUUGCAUAUGGAGACUAGCAGGGAGAAAAUACAAAAUUGGGGGAUGGAAGGAGGUGGGUGUCUGCCCAUGCUCGAUUACACAACUUACCUUCUUUAUGGAAUGCAUAUCUUCACUUCUAAUCAAUUCCUUGUGGGAUAACAGUCCCUGUGUUCCAUUACUGAAAUAAUUAGCACUGAUAAAAGUUUCCUGAGCUUUUCUAUGUGCCAGAUAUUAUGCUUAAGUAUAAAUAUCUUUACUGGGACAGAAUUUACAUACCAUAAAAUUAAUUCAUUAAAUAUGUACAAUUCAAAUAUUUUCAGAAAAUUUAUAGGAUUGGGCAGCCAUUAUUAAAAUCCAGUUUUAAGGUGUUCCAUCAUCUUACAAAACUCCUUCAAAUCUGUUUGUAGUCAGUCCUCUAACCCAUGUUCAGCUCCAGGCAAUCAUUAAUCUGCCUUCUGUGUCUACAAAUUAGUCUUUUCUAGAAAUUUUACAUAAGUUGAAUCAUAUAAUGUAUAUUCUUCUGUAUCUGGUUUCUUUCCCUUGGUACAGUGUUUUUGAGAUUCAUCUAUGUGAUAGCAUGUAUCAGUAUUCCAUUUCUUUUUAUUGUUGAAUAGUAUUCCACUGUAUUGAUAUACCACAUUUUGUGUAUCUAUUGACAAGAUGAUGGACAUUUGAAUCACUGUAGCUUUUUAGUUAUCAUGAAUAAUGUUGACAUGAAUGUUCACCUACAAAUAUAUAUGUGAACAUGUGUUCUUGUUUCUUUUAGAUAGAUAUUUAGUAGUAAAAUCAUUAGGCUGCUUAAUAAACUUAUUUUUAACUUUUAAGGAAACUAAUGAACUGUUUUCCUGAGGGACUACACCAUUCUCACAAACAAUAUAUAAAGAUUCUAGUCUCUCCAUAUUCUUGCUAAUACUUGUUGGUGACUACCAUUUUUAUUGUAGCCAGUCACAUGAGCAUAUAGAGUCAUCUUACUGAGUGUGUUUUUCUAUGCCUUCUGCCCCUGUACCCUCAUCAAUUCUAUUAGUCAGGAUAGGCUAGGUUAUGCUGUGGUAACAAGCAACCUCCAAGUCUCAGUGACUUAAAACCACAAAGGAUAUUUCUCACACAUGCUGCAUGGCUAGUGAUGACUAGAAAUGGAGAGGAGAAAAAGUGCUCAUCAAAGUCACCCAGGGUCCCAGGCUGAUGGGAAGUCCUGGAGGAGAAAAAGGCAGACUACUGCGG
Molecule: long non-coding RNA, 3896 nt
Filed under: Marmota monax (woodchuck)
Lineage: Eukaryota; Metazoa; Chordata; Mammalia; Rodentia; Sciuridae
Source: RNAcentral